This is a non-coding RNA of Schistosoma margrebowiei, 46 nucleotides long. The record is from Rfam. NCBI's taxonomy places the organism in Eukaryota, Metazoa, Platyhelminthes, Trematoda, Strigeidida, Schistosomatidae.
GCACUACUGCAGAGUCCCAUAUUAGGACGAAACGGCCGUCCAGUGC